This is a non-coding RNA of Camellia sinensis, 455 nucleotides long. NCBI's taxonomy places the organism in Eukaryota, Viridiplantae, Streptophyta, Magnoliopsida, Ericales, Theaceae. The record is from RefSeq and is a predicted model, not a curated record.
UUGUGCUGGAUAGAGCACAACCGAGAGAGAGAGAGAGAAGGGGAGGACAGCAGAGAGAGAGAGAGAGCUUGCUUCUUUGUGCUGGUGCGUUUUGAAGGAGAUUCAAGAAAGGAAAAUGGAAGAUCAUCAAGAGGCUAUCAAAUUAAAGAUUAAAGGUGGACGUCCGAGGCCUUUUAUCGACUUAACCCACUGUGAACAAACUAAGCAACAAGGAUAGAGAAAGUCUCGGAGUCUACCCGUGUCAGCCUUUAGAAGAGCUUCCGGAAUGGAGCAAGUUAGGCUUGAGUAGAGCCAAAAAAAUCAGCCCUUAGCUUUGUUAGAGCUUUGAAUUUUGCUAAGUCUUAAAUGCAUAUGUGUGUGAAAUAUAUAAGAUUUGUAUGCAAAUUAUUAUUGUGUUUAAAUGUUUUAAUUAUUUUAGUCAUCAUGUAUGCACAAGCUCAAUGGACAUUGUUAUU